AUUGAACGCUGGCGGCAGGCCUAACACAUGCAAGUCGAACGGUAACAGGAAGAAGCUUGCUUCUUUGCUGACGAGUGGCGGACGGGUGAGUAAUGUCUGGGAAACUGCCUGAUGGAGGGGGAUAACUACUGGAAACGGUAGCUAAUACCGCAUAACGUCGCAAGACCAAAGAGGGGGACCUUCGGGCCUCUUGCCAUCGGAUGUGCCCAGAUGGGAUUAGCUAGUAGGUGGGGUAACGGCUCACCUAGGCGACGAUCCCUAGCUGGUCUGAGAGGAUGACAACCCACAGUGGAACAGACACCGGUCCCAGACCCUGCGGGGGGCAGCCGUGGGGAAUUUUUGCACAUGGGGCCAAGGCUGGAUGCAGCCAGCCCGGGUGAAGGAAGAAGGCUUUGGGGUUUUAAAGUUCUUUGAGGGGGGGGAAAGGAAGAAAAUUAAAUACCUUCGCUCUUGCACUUCCCCCGAAAAAGAAGCCCGGCCUACCCCCGUC
RNAcentral lists this ribosomal RNA (490 nucleotides) under uncultured bacterium. Its description in RNAcentral is "partial 16S ribosomal RNA". It matches the Rfam family "Bacterial small subunit ribosomal RNA", at positions 30 to 507 of the family's 1533-position model. The record is from RNAcentral.